RNAcentral lists this ribosomal RNA (37 nucleotides) under Penstemon barbatus. RNAcentral describes it as "partial 18S ribosomal RNA". The record is from RNAcentral. RNAcentral also lists the same sequence under 3 other names. Lineage: Eukaryota; Viridiplantae; Streptophyta; Magnoliopsida; Lamiales; Plantaginaceae.
AACAAGGUUUCCGUAGGUGAACCUGCGGAAGGAUCAU